This 498-nucleotide ribosomal RNA is filed under the name uncultured bacterium. RNAcentral describes it as "partial 16S ribosomal RNA". It matches the Rfam family "Bacterial small subunit ribosomal RNA", at positions 30 to 523 of the family's 1533-position model. The record is from RNAcentral.
AUUGAACGCUGGCGGCAUGCUUUACACAUGCAAGUCGAACGGUAACAGGCCGCAAGGUGCUGACGAGUGGCGAACGGGUGAGUAAUGCAUCGGAACGUGCCCAGUCGUGGGGGAUAACGCAGCGAAAGCUGUGCUAAUACCGCAUACGAUCUAUGGAUGAAAGCGGGGGACCGUAAGGCCUCGCGCGAUUGGAGCGGCCGAUGUCAGAUUAGGUAGUUGGUGGGGUAAAGGCUCACCAAGCCAACGAUCAGUAGCUGGUCUGAGAGGACGACCAGCCAAACUGGGACUGGGACACGGCCCAGACUCCUACGGGAGGCAGCAGUGGGGAAUUUUGGACAAUGGGCGCAAGCCUGAUCCAGCAAUGCCGCGUGCAGGAAGAAGGCCUUCGGGUUGUAAACUGCUUUUGUACGGAACGAAAAGGUUUGGGUUAAUACCCUGGGCCGAUGACGGUACCGUAAGAAUAAGCACCGGCUAACUACGUGCCAGCCGCCGCCGUAA